GCUCUUGUCACCGGUCAUAUGCCUUGAGCAACCGCUAUCAAAAUACCACAUUCUCUUUUUACUUCCGGCUGCAAGGCAUACCUGCAAAAUAAUCAUGUGAAGCUCUUAGGUACCCAAGUUUUCUUGGGUCCUUCUUGGUUAGUGUAGUUGGUUCCCUUAGGCACCCAUACUUUAGUUGUGUUUUUACCUUUUACAAAUGUAUUCUUGUUAGUUUGAAUCUUUCUUUGAAUGCAAGAAUAGACUUUAUGUCCACUUUUUCCACAAUGAAAGCAUGUAGGUUUUUCAGUUUUGACAUCUUUUGCUUUCACAAAGAAAUUCUUUAGAUACUUUUGUUGUUUGCUAGUUUUAUAUCCUAAUUCGGCUUUAUUAAAAACAGCUCUUUGAUUGGAUAGAAUAAGAUUUAAUUUUUCAGAGCUUUGUGUAAAUUUUUCCACAAUUGGUUUGUACUUAUGUACCUCAUUUUUAAGAAUAAAAUUUUCU
This 480-nucleotide long non-coding RNA is filed under the name Phoenix dactylifera (date palm). RNAcentral describes it as "long non-coding RNA (PDAC_LNC023117)". Lineage: Eukaryota; Viridiplantae; Streptophyta; Magnoliopsida; Arecales; Arecaceae. The record is from RNAcentral.